GUGCUUGCUUCGGCAGUACAUAUGCUAAAAUUGGAACGAUACAGAAAAGAUUAGCAUGGCUCCUGUGCAAGGAUGACAUGCAAAUUCGUGAAGCAUUCCGUAUUUUU
Small nuclear RNA from Sciurus carolinensis (gray squirrel), 107 nucleotides. The record is from RefSeq and is a predicted model, not a curated record. NCBI's taxonomy places the organism in Eukaryota, Metazoa, Chordata, Mammalia, Rodentia, Sciuridae.